Molecule: long non-coding RNA, 604 nt
Organism: Sander lucioperca (pikeperch)
Lineage: Eukaryota; Metazoa; Chordata; Actinopteri; Perciformes; Percidae
Exons: 2
Source: RefSeq, a predicted model, not a curated record
UGGACACGCCCUAAACGCACCUGCGCCAAGCGCUCCACGCCGUGCGCUUAGAUCGUUAAAAUAGGGCCGUAAAACUUUCUGAAUUGACGAAUUAAUGAAUAAAAUUAGGAUAAUUCGGAUACAACAGAAAGUACAAUUAUGUAAAGCAAGUACAAGUAGAAGUUUGCAACUUUAAAACCAGAUUUGUCAAUCGUCAAAUAUACAAAUAUACAUACAAGUGACGUACCUUACUUCUCGUAGCGAUAUGUACGAAUGGUUCAUGAGAACAGCCUCAUUUGUCAACAGAAGUCCUCCUGUGGACACAGAAGUUGUGUUUGUUGUCAGGGAUGCACGAUCGGUAGCUGUGAACGUAGCGUAGUGUUUAUACAGUUAAUCUGUCUGUGAAUAAAUGCUACAACUUCUUAAAACCCAAGUUCCCGCGUCUUGUUUACCCCCUGCUGGUUUAAGUGAAAGGGUUUGAAUCCGACCCAAGACCCAGACUAAUUUCCUUCGCUACAUAAAACAAAAUAUCUUCUCUCAUCACAUGUCAUCCACUCUCUCUCAUCCUCAUUCUUCAGCUGCUCUAAUUUAAAAAAAAGGAAAAAAAAACCUAAAAAAUAUAUUU